Molecule: ribosomal RNA, 483 nt
Filed under: uncultured bacterium
Lineage: Bacteria
Description: partial 16S ribosomal RNA
Rfam family: Bacterial small subunit ribosomal RNA
Source: RNAcentral
GACGAACGCUGGCGGCGUGCUUAACACAUGCAAGUCGAACGCUGAAGCUCAGCUUUUGUUGGGUGGAUGAGUGGCGAACGGGUGAGUAACACGUGAGUAACCUGCCCCCUUCUUUGGGAUAACGCCCGGAAACGGGUGCUAAUACUGGAUAUUCACUGGUCUUCGCAUGGGGGUUGGUGGAAAGGGUUUUUCUGGUGGGGGAUGGGCUCGCGGCCUAUCAGCUUGUUGGUGGGGUGAUGGCCUACCAAGGCUUUGACGGGUAGCCGGCCUGAGAGGGUGACCGGUCACAUUGGGACGGAGAUACGGCCCAGGCUCCUACGGGGGGCGGCAGUGGGGAAUAUUGGACAAUGGGCGCAAGCCUGAUGCAGCGACGGCGCGUGAGGGAUGGAGGCCUUCGGGUUGUGAAACUCUUUCGCUCAUGGUCAAGCCGCAACAAUGGUUGUGGUGAGGGUAGUGGGUAAAGAAGCGCCGGCUAACUACGUG